Molecule: non-coding RNA, 94 nt
Organism: Mycena rebaudengoi
Lineage: Eukaryota; Fungi; Basidiomycota; Agaricomycetes; Agaricales; Mycenaceae
Source: the annotation of a GenBank genome assembly
GCAUUAGUGGGGUAGUGGUAACCUGGGUCGUUGCCAUUUGCCUGAUCUCUAAAAAGUUAUCGACCCGCCGGGAGUUCGAUUCUCUCCUAAUGCA